Arachis ipaensis is the source of this 896-nucleotide non-coding RNA. The record is from RefSeq and is a predicted model, not a curated record. NCBI's taxonomy places the organism in Eukaryota, Viridiplantae, Streptophyta, Magnoliopsida, Fabales, Fabaceae.
AUGGGCAGCUAGGAGGGCUUCCAAAUAAGGUCACCAUUCUCUGCAAUGGCGUGGAAGGCAUAUAUUUUUCAAGCCUUCACUUGUAAGCAUCACUUGUUCAUAUGUAUCUGUCCUCUGUUGUAAUUUUUUUUAAAUUGCUGUAGCUAAUUACUACGUAUAACUUCUUAUUUGUGAGGUGCGGCAAGUGAUAAUACAUUCAUGCCUUUUUCUUUUUCUUGAUUGUCAAUUAAUAUUUUGCACAUAUUUUCUAAUAGCUAAUGCAACUUAUCUCUCAAGCUUCAUUAAUGGAUUUCAAACUCAUUGAUGCUAAUUUUGAAUCUGCUGUUGCUAUUACUUCUGUAUGUAAAAUGAUUCAUUUAUUGCUUUUUGGUAAAUAUACAUUUUCCUCUACUUCAGAGUUGUUUGCAAGUGUGGUAUUUGUGGGACUGAAAAACAAGCACUCGGUGACUGGGAACAACACAGGUUCUAAAUUAAGAAACUGGAAAACAAGUAUUAGGGUCAAAGGCUCCAUGUUACCACUUGAAUAGUGGAUGCUGCAAUUGGCUGAGGUCCAUGCUAAUGCUCAAGUUUCUGUCAAACCUAAAAAGUCUUCUCUAAAAGAGAGGAAGCAGAAGUUACUUGCCUUCUUGCAAGGUUUACAGGAGUUUGCUGAGAGGAAGGACAAUGGGAAGAUGGCUGAAGGAUCAAAAGGAGAGGAAAAAGCAGGAAAUUAGGACAUUGUAGAAUCAAUAGAGUGUACAUAGCUGCCAUAAAGUUCUACACUUACCAUAUGAGUGGUCUUUAACUUAGCUUGCAUUGUUCAAGAAAUUUUAGAAAAUUCUAAAGACGCUACUCUACUAAUGUUUUUGAGACAUGGAUGUAAUUUUCACUCCAUAUGGAUGUAUAACUGUAUAUUA